This 23-nucleotide non-coding RNA is filed under the name Gallus gallus (chicken). The record is from RNAcentral. RNAcentral also lists the same sequence under 2 other names. Lineage: Eukaryota; Metazoa; Chordata; Aves; Galliformes; Phasianidae.
ACGUAGCAGAGCAGCUCCCUCGC